AGGUGAAUAAUUUUAGAUUGACCCAAAAACUAAACGAGCAAAAUAAUAAGGCAUGUUAUUCUGCCAGGAGAAAAAACAAUGGAGAAGAAAUCUGCUAGAAGAAGAUUUUGAUAAGGAAACCUGUGACGACCCCACCUUCUCCUAGGGCAUACCCUAGAAGUUAGUGAAUCGCCUGCCUGGCACUCGCUAGGACUCACUCACUCCCAUUAACUUCAGAGAUAACAUUACCAUUGGACAACUGAACAUUCACUCUUAAGUACCACUCCAAUCAGCUUGAAACAUAGAUUUGUCCACUAAAAGAAACAAAAUACACGUUCUAAACAUCCAUUCUUAAUAUUACAUUAACUCAAAAAAAAGAUUCAACCAUCUUAAAAUACGAAAGAAAACGUGACUCCAAUAUAUACACAUAGUGAUGGGAUUUCCCAAAACAACUUUCCAAUUCCAUCCAAUCACUUUUCAAUCUCCAACUCCUGUAAGGAAAACAAAGCUAAAAGGGUGAGCUUACGCCCGUGAGGUUUCCAUGCAGGUAACAUUUAGAAUCACAUGAAUCAAUACAAAUAAACAAGUAGUGCACAUUUCACUGUACAAUCACUUUCAUUAGCAAUUGAGGAAACACUUCACUGAACAAUCACUUUUAAAAGGAUACGGUGCUCGCAUUAGAGCCACUUCAAUGCACUACACACUCCGCCGAACUUCUCCGUAUAACCUCCAAAACAAUAAACAGUUCCCUCACUUGGAUGGCCAUAUCAAUAUCAAUAAUCUGCUACUCCGUGGUAAUACUCGAGCAUACCAAAACACUUACUCAAAGCUACCGUCCUACCCGACCAAGCCCUUUGCUGGCUCGAAUAGUCCAUUGAACAGAGGGUUUUGGGGCCCAGUUCAGCCGGCGUGAUAAAGUACACACACGGCUUACAGUCAUGCACACUUACAAUAUCACUUGAUCAAUUAUCAAUCUUCAAGCUCAACUAAGCCAAGUGCGAUAAAGUACACCCUCGACUUAGAAGGCGAGGGACAAUUGAGAUACACUUCCAAUGAAUCACUUAGCAAUAUUUCAUAAUAAGCACAUUUGCCAUAUAAUUGCACUUAGGUACACAUAAGCAGUUUAACACAUAAAUUCGGAAAACACUCACCAAUUAUCCAAGUAAAUUACUCUUGAGCCUCGGGUUUGUUUCUUGGCUCACAGCUACAUCCUGGACAAGUUAAUAAUUCCAAAUCAACUACAUAGUUUGUAGAUGUUCACUUAUUGUUCUUACUUUAUCACUUGGACUAUUAAAAUCAAGUUUGACUUUAAAGUAUAAAAUAUAACAUAUUCAAUGUUCAUGUAUCAUUUUAUUUUGAAACUUAUUGACUUUAUUGUUUUAAUCAAGAAUUAUACCUGUUUUCCCAAGUUAAUAAUUCAUAAGAUAUUUAUUUUAGGAUUUAAAUCAUUUUCCACUCAAGAUUCCAAAAUUAAGGUUUAGAAGUAUUCCCUUGGUUCCUUUUUAAUUAAUUAGACUCUAAGUUAUUUGGAAAUUAAGUUUUAUUCCACUAUACCAGUCCCUCAAUUUAAUAGCCUUUAAAAAUAUUCGUGAAAACAAUAUUAAAUAAUUAGAAGCCACUUUACGUAUAUAACUAUCGUGACUUUUCACUCAAUUGCCUUAGUCUAACUCUACUCGUGGAACUAGGUAUAGCGAUUAAAUCUCAACACAAUGGUAGCUAUCAUUUAUGAAAGCUUACAAGAUUGGAAAUUAGAAGAAAUGUUAGUUAAAAGUUGAUUUCCUCAUGGCCAUUAUCAAAGCUGCAUGCAUGCGAAACAAAAGGAAAGGCAACGAGGAAGGCAGCUUUACCAUCCUCUGGUAUUUCAAUCAUAACUAGAGCUAUGCUUAUCGAAUUGAGGCGAACUUUAUAGCGUUUCGAAGCUAAAAUAUAGACCUACAUUUCUUGUGAAGACACUAACAUCCAGUUCUCACAUUUUCAUAGUAAAAAAUGGCCAGACAGAAGCCCAUCCUGCUUCACUCACUCAGCUGUGAAGCAAUUAACAACGCAGUUCAUAGUUUUUCCUCCCUAAUUUCUUUCAGUUUUGUUCAUUAAAUUCCACAUGCAAAGGUUGGUUAUCAAACUACAGAGUACCAUCAGCAUGAAUACAAGUUUAUAGCCAAGGGAAAUCAGAACAAUACUGGUUCAGCUCACGAUCUUCUUCCUUCUGCAUUUUUUUCCAGAAUUGUUGCAGCAAUCACUCAACACUAUUUUCUCUCCAAUAAUCACUUCAGUUCUUGCUCAAAUAUUCCAUGCAUGUUCAGACCAGCUAUUAUACAUCAUAUACUACAGUUUAACAUAGAGAUUCAAGGCCAUAAUUCAUGAGGACAGCUAGAAACCUCUUCAUUUCCUUCUCUCGGAUAGAGUUGGAAAAUUCCAGCAAGUUUUCUUCCUACGGUCCUCAUUAAAAUUUCCAACAAUGUUCCUGCUUUUAAUUCAUCUUUUCCUUGCUUUUAACCUCUCAAAGGUGAUAUGCAUGUUAAGAUAUGUGACCAGAAAAUGUAUGUGAGACAUGCAACAGAAGAUACAACUGGAAAAUUGCAGAUUAGCUCAUCAAGUAUCACAUAGCAGCUUCAAACUAACAUUUCCAACUUUGAUAACCUUUGUUUUCCAGAAAGUUUUCUUUUACUUGGUUCCAACUCAGUCUAAAAGACUACUAACUAAACGUGGAAGAACUGGAAGAGGAGGACAGUAGUUUACCUCUGGUUCUUAUGGCCUAAGUUAAGAAAAUAAAAUUCUGGUUUCACUCUCCCAUCCUUAACUCGAUAGACUGCAUUCCUUCUUUCUUUGUGGCUGGUUCUCACAGUUGAAAGAGGCCAGAAAUGAGUUCCUCUUUCCUUUAGAAUCCGGUAAUUGCAGGUUACUCUUAGCUUUCUGCUGCGGCUCCUCAAAGUUUCCGCUCCAAUCCUUCUUCUUCCUUACGUCACUUUCACUCUCGGUUAAAACUGUGGAUGAUGCAGCUAACAAGAUUUCUCUCCCUCUCACUCACUUUGGCUCACGGUUAUGAGGUUGCGAGCUGGAGAGAUAAAGCUAGCACUCUCUCCCUCACUCUCUCUCUCUCUCGGUUGCAAGCUGGACAAGAGGAACCAGAAAUAUUUCUCACUCGGUGGUGUUUUGGCAUGAAUGGUUAUGACCGAAACUCUCACUCUCGAUUUGGUUUCCAAUGCUUGGUUGGUAAGAAGAGCAUUUGAACAUAUUUCCUUCACUCCACCGACCACUCAAGCUUCUUCAUUCGGUGCUGAUCAAUCCAAUGUUCACCUCAUUCGGUCACUGCAUACUC
Molecule: long non-coding RNA, 3295 nt
Filed under: Coffea arabica (coffee)
Lineage: Eukaryota; Viridiplantae; Streptophyta; Magnoliopsida; Gentianales; Rubiaceae
Description: long non-coding RNA (CARA_LNC004670)
Source: RNAcentral